RNAcentral lists this transfer RNA (72 nucleotides) under Marmota marmota marmota (Alpine marmot). It matches the Rfam family "tRNA". Rfam says of the family: Transfer RNA (tRNA) molecules are approximately 80 nucleotides in length. RNAcentral also lists the same sequence under 1 other name. Lineage: Eukaryota; Metazoa; Chordata; Mammalia; Rodentia; Sciuridae. The record is from Rfam by way of RNAcentral.
GGGGAUGUACCUCAGUGGUAGAGCACUUGCCUACCAUGCACAAGGCCCUGGUUUCAAUCCCUAGCAUCCCCC